GAUGAACGCUGGCGGCGUGCCUAAUACAUGCAAGUCGAGCGAACAGACGAGGAGCUUGCUCCUUCGACGUUAGCGGCGGACGGGUGAGUAACACGUAGGUAACCUACCUAUAAGACUGGGAUAACCUCGGGAAACCGGAGCUAAUACCGGAUAAUAUUUCGAACCGCAUGGUUCGAUAGUGAAAGGUGGCUUUGCUAUCACUUAUAGAUGGACCUGCGCCGUAUUAGCUAGUUGGUAAGGUAACGGCUUACCAAGGCAACGAUACGUAGCCGACCUGAGAGGGUGAUCGGCCACACUGGAACUGAGACACGGUCCAGACUCCUACGGGAGGCAGCAGUAGGGAAUCUUCCGCAAUGGGCGAAAGCCUGACGGAGCAACGCCGCGUGAGUGAUGAAGGUCUUCGGAUCGUAAAACUCUGUUAUUAGGGAAGAACAAACGUGUAAGUAACUGUGCACGUCUUGACGGUACCUAAUCAGAAAGCCACGGCUAACUACGUG
Molecule: ribosomal RNA, 497 nt
Filed under: uncultured bacterium
Lineage: Bacteria
Description: partial 16S ribosomal RNA
Rfam family: Bacterial small subunit ribosomal RNA
Source: RNAcentral